RNAcentral lists this long non-coding RNA (397 nucleotides) under Lupinus angustifolius (narrow-leaved blue lupine). RNAcentral describes it as "long non-coding RNA (LANG_LNC002838)". The record is from RNAcentral. Lineage: Eukaryota; Viridiplantae; Streptophyta; Magnoliopsida; Fabales; Fabaceae.
ACACAUGCACUCUACUCUAAUUUCGCCAUGAGAAAAUAAAGCAAAAGAAAAACCCUCAUUUCUUCAUUUUUCUUUCUCCUCCUCCAUUUUUUCCUCUUCUCCCAUUUCAUUUUUCUCUCCUUCUCCCUCUUUUUUUCAUUUUCUUUAUAUUCUACCUUUGCGGAAAAUCGGCCAAAUCACUCAAAUCUUCCAAAUUAUUCGCUUCAAAUCCAGCUUCAAUCGUUGAAAUGCAUCUUCAAUCGCCCAAAUCUGCUUCAUUUGUUCAAACCCCUUCAAAAUCGCUUCAUUCGUUCAAAUCCCUUCAAAUCUAGCUUCAUUCGUCCAAAUCGCCCCAAAUCCACCUUCGUUCGCUCAAAUCCAGCUUCAAUCACUCAAUCCAACUCCAAUCUUCCAUCGC